UUGACAUUUCUGACCCGGACAAAAUUCCCCAAACACUUCUCAAUUGUUUGUGCAGGACAUUUACUCAUCUGCCUUCCUGCAUACACGUGUUCAUAUUUUCCACCUGUCGCCUGCAUCGAAAUCAAAGUUGUUUUCGUUACCAAUAAUACCUUUGGAAAUGUGUGCGUUUCUAUCAAAGUGCCUUAAUACUUUAUAAUAGUUUCUGCAUGUCGUGUUAUGUCGUUUCUACUGUAACGUCAUGUUUUUGUGUAUAUUCCUUAUAACCGCGGACACGCGAUGUAACGUUACUCAUUUCAUAACAUUUAUGGUGUUAUACUCAAUGCUUAGGUAUCUACCUACAUUCUCCUAUUAGCUCUGGAAGACAAUGCUAAUUGCGUCAGGGAAGUAUUAGCAUGUGUUGUAUUUCGAAGCUACCCUGGCCUUAUGACUCCGAAGUGGCACAGCGUCUCAGUGCUAGAAGCGUCACUACAGAGACCCAUCUUCAAAUCAAGACUGCGUUUCUAUCAAAGUGGUCCACCUUCCCUGUGGCCGACAUGGUUGCUGUAUGGACAGUGGAGAGGACAUGGACGUCUCGUUUGUCAUGCCACUUUACUGCCAGCUGUUAACAUUUCUUAUUUUGUAUAACGGGUCAUUUAGGAUGGUAGUAGCGUUGAUGAAAUGCAGUCAUAGCAGCAGAACUAGAAAGCAGUCUUUACUGUCACCAGGAAUGUAUGCAUUUCACUAAUUGUGGUUGUCCCCCACUCAUGGCUCUCUCUUAUCCUGUAGCUCCAAGGCAUAGCGAUUGGUCUCUACUAUGUCUCCCACCAGCUCCUCUGUCAGAAACAACUUGAAGCACUCUGCCUCAGUUGGAAAUGGCAAGGGGCGUUGCACUUCAGACUGGGACUCGUCAAAGCAAACAGCAGGGCCAGGAGGGGUGAAAUGACUGGUGGCCUUCCAGCUACCACAGAACUCCUGUACUUCAUCCACUGUUGGUAUGCCUCCAUCACCACCAGCAUCUUCAAAGGGACCUGGGACUUUGUCAGUGGACAAGGGAAAUUCAGAUUCAGGGUUCUCAAUGGCUACAAGGUUGGGGGGCAGCUCCUCACUCAGUCAGAAUCUGAUUCCUGACUUUCAUACUCUGACUCAUUGUCAGAAUUAAAAAAGAAAAUCUCCAGAAUUUCCACAUUUGUUUGUUGUCUCCUUUUGAAAGACAUUGCUAAUGCUUCAGCUUAGCUCACUAGCUACAUACAUAAACAACAACACUGAAUGGUUUACAGUGAGAGGGUACGUGGUUGACUGCCGGCACGCGCCACUUGUAUCAAUAAAUCACUAUCAGAAAAUG
Long non-coding RNA from Salvelinus fontinalis (brook trout), 1321 nucleotides. RefSeq lists it as uncharacterized. Lineage: Eukaryota; Metazoa; Chordata; Actinopteri; Salmoniformes; Salmonidae. The record is from RefSeq and is a predicted model, not a curated record. The transcript has 2 exons.